Molecule: ribosomal RNA, 265 nt
Filed under: uncultured archaeon
Lineage: Archaea
Description: partial 16S ribosomal RNA
Rfam family: Archaeal small subunit ribosomal RNA
Source: RNAcentral
ACACGACUACAUUAGAUACCCCCGUAGUCCUAGCCGUAAACGAUACUCGCUAGGUGUCGGCCACGGUGCGACCGUUGCCGGUGCCGUAGGGAAGCCGUGAAGCGAGCCACCUGGGAAGUACGGCCGCAAGGCUGAAACUUAAAGGAAUUGGCGGGGGAGCACCACAACGGGUGGAGCUUGCGGUUUAAUUGGAUUCAACGCCGGAAAUCUUACCGGGACCGACAGCAACAUGAAGGCCAGGCUGAAGACUUUGCCGGAUUAGCUG